Drosophila willistoni is the source of this 917-nucleotide long non-coding RNA. RefSeq lists it as uncharacterized. The record is from RefSeq and is a predicted model, not a curated record. Lineage: Eukaryota; Metazoa; Arthropoda; Insecta; Diptera; Drosophilidae. The transcript has 3 exons.
AAUGAAAUGAAAAUCGGUUAAAUGUAAAAUUUUACGUUUCGAUUUUGAUACCAGCAGGUUAAUGGGGUUACAAGAAUUCGCAUAGCUUCUCGUCGCGGCAUUGAUCGUUCAUCUAAUCUGUUUGGUGUUAAGUCCAAAGAAGCAUAUGUAAUUCGAUUGUUUACAUGUGACUGGCUUCAAAAUGAAAUCGAAGUGUUAAGCAGGAGUAAGAGUAGGAGUAGGAGUUGAAGCAGGAGGAUCGUAAGCGCGAUUUGCAGGUUACGCCUUGAGAAACACAGCUGGAGUGCAAUUUCUGCUCGAAGGGCAGUAUUGGGGGUGUCUCUGAGUGUUCUCCUUUCAUGGCAUAGUACACCCCUCGGAUUCUGCAUCUCUUAUUUAGCUGUCACUCUAUCAUUUUUAUUAAAUGCUCCGCCAGCUUCGUUCUUGUUUGUCAGUCUCACUCUGAUAUCUUUUCCUUGGCUGUCUUGAUGUUUUGCUCGAAUUGUGUCGCGGUGUUGGGCCAAGUCGGAGGCAAAGGCGUCGUCCUGAGAGAUGCGUUUCACUCAUAUCCGGUUAAACAUUCACACCUCAGACUUUGCUUAAGCGUAAGAGAACUCAAGAUGGGUCACAGCUCCAGAAUACCAAUACCAAUACCAAGACGCAGUCGCAGACGAAGGCGAGUCAUAUGCUAAAUUGCAGUUCAUCCCCCAUCAUCUUCCCCCGUAGACUCCAUGCUCUUCUUUCCUUUUCUUUUCUGCUGGUGCAGUAUUAAAUUUCAAACCGCACAGUCAGUGGGCCAGCGAGAGGGGGUGAAGGUUAACCGAGAACAGGCAGAGCAGAAAUCUUGCAGAUUUGUGGCGUAAAAUUAUGAAAAUUAUGUCUGACACAUCCUGCUGUCUGCUUAAGGUCUUUGUUUAUCCUGGGCAAUGCGGCAACAA